CAAGCAAGUAUGAUCCUUUGUCUUGCAUUAUGGUGUCGAUCACAUUGUUAUGGUGCUGACAAAGCCGUAAAAACCGUGUAUACUGAUAAUAAUCAAUUCACUUUCGCGAGGUGGUUGAACGCCAUCCAAGAGCCCCACUAUACGAGCAAUAUCCAAGAACGGUUACCGGAAUACAAAGUCAACUUGAUUGCUGAGCCUUAUCUUGAGAUCGAGGACUCAAUUGCUUUUUAGGGUUCGAUUAUGAGGAUUCCUUUAAUUUUGUUCAGCACUAGUCAUUAAUGGAUGUCAGCAAUAAGACACCUGCCAAGGUCAAGAGUACUGCCGCCAUUAAGAAAGAAGAGGGCUUUUCUGAAGAAAUAAGUAGUAAGCACGUGUUGAUGAAGAUGAAUAAUUAACAUAAUUAAGGGUGGUAGGGCGCAAAACCUUCACCAGUAGGUGCCCCUUUGAUACCACGAAGCGAUAAUGCGUACUGGUUAAAGAUGUGGACAAAUAAAAAAAUU
Molecule: long non-coding RNA, 500 nt
Organism: Bombyx mori (domestic silkworm)
Lineage: Eukaryota; Metazoa; Arthropoda; Insecta; Lepidoptera; Bombycidae
Exons: 4
Source: RefSeq, a predicted model, not a curated record